GCGGGGCGCAGGCGCCAAGCGGCGCUGGGCGCGUUGCGCUGCAGUGCUGCUGCUUGGCUCCUUACACCUCCCUGAGCCGGCCAUGAGGUGUUUUCAGGAGAUUUGGCCAUGUUUUCACAAAAAACAAGGCUCCCCAGGGUCUGCGCCUGAGGGGUGAGGCCGGUGGACGGGCCUCCCGCGUGGUCCUGUGGCCUCCACCUCCACCGCCUCAGCCCAGCCAGCAUCUGGGGAGGCUUCUCCCGUGCCGAGCCCCAGCAGCGGCCCUCAGGUGCUAGCAAGCGGGUGCCCGGCCGGCCCGGAGCACAAGGAGGUCUUUAUGAGCUGCCCGUGGGCUGUGCACAGGGGCGGCUUUGUGUUAGGGGCGCCAGCCCGGCGCGGCUGGAGGCUGCUGCCCUCGCCCGUUGUCCCCACAGGCCCUCACCACCUCCUUGACCGCCGGCCGCGGCCCUCACCCCGCAGAGGACGGCUGCAGGGGGUGCAGAGCCUGGCACCGCUUCUGCCUUCACCACCCAUCGCCUUCCCCAUGGCAGCAGGUUACAAGGCGCAAGGAGCCAGACCUGCAUGGCAUGUGCGGUCUGCAUGCUCUGCCAUGUCCUGUCGCGUGCUGGCGCGCUGCGGUGGCGGAGGUAAGGAGGGCUGGCACAGCCUGGUCCCCUUGCAAUGCACAUCUCCUGCUGUAACCCCCAUCAUGGCCUCUGGGGUUUUCCUUGCAGCCUUAGCAAUGAGCACGAUGCCUUCUGCAGUUGCUUUGCCCAGCAGCCAUGAGCAAGCAUUGUGGGAGAGGGAUUGGAGAAUGUCAUAGAAUAUCCCGAGUUGGAAUGGAUGCGCAAGGAUCACCGAAUCCAACUCCUUGGGAUCAGAACUCAUAUGGGGACACAAAGGCUGUGACCUUGAAGAUGUGCUUGCCCAGCAGCACCUUGCGGGAGAACUCGCUCAUCUCCAGCUCCACCUCCAACGUGGCUGGCCCCACCA
Long non-coding RNA from Cygnus olor (mute swan), 972 nucleotides. RefSeq lists it as uncharacterized. The record is from RefSeq and is a predicted model, not a curated record. The transcript has 3 exons. NCBI's taxonomy places the organism in Eukaryota, Metazoa, Chordata, Aves, Anseriformes, Anatidae.